UCGAUUCCAUGAUCAAUUUUAUUUUAGCAUUUAAAACUGUUCAUUCUGUUGUCAUAAAUGCAAGGACGUCUGCAAUUAAAACGUAAAAAAAAAUAUUGCCAAAAGAGAAAUGCAAAAACUAAGGUGAAUUUUCCGUAGAGACUGACAUUCAAUCACUAGGUGGCGUAUCGCGAUAGAAUGCUUCUCUCUCAUUGGUUAGAUUUUUAGUAGAAGAAAGAGGGACAAAAUGGCGAAGAAAACACCAAGAACUUGCUCAAGAAAAACAACAGAGAUGAGAAGAUCUUUUGACUCUACACAGAAGAAAGGCACCCCAAACGACAGAUUAGAUACAGAUAUCCAUGGAACAAAUCAUCUGAAAACUAAGAGAGGAUGAAGAAUACUUCUGUUAAAAAGUUGAAGUAACUGAUGAGCAGAUCAAUCCAACUUGAACAUGAUAUCAUUUCUCCAAUGAUGAAAACAAGUCUCUUUAUACUCAAGCAUUGAUGUUUUUAAAGUCAACUGAAACAGGUCAUAC
Saccostrea cuccullata (small rock oyster) is the source of this 514-nucleotide long non-coding RNA. RefSeq lists it as uncharacterized. The record is from RefSeq and is a predicted model, not a curated record. Lineage: Eukaryota; Metazoa; Mollusca; Bivalvia; Ostreida; Ostreidae. The transcript has 3 exons.